Molecule: non-coding RNA, 1400 nt
Organism: Camelina sativa (false flax)
Lineage: Eukaryota; Viridiplantae; Streptophyta; Magnoliopsida; Brassicales; Brassicaceae
Source: RefSeq, a predicted model, not a curated record
AAGAAAAAACACAAAACUCACUAUUAACCUAAUUUCUAUAUCUCUCCACUCCCGACAUUCCCCACUCAUCUUGUUCCAGCCCAAAAAAGAGAGAGAGAGAUUUAAUAGAAGAUGUUGUCUGAUUCAGAUCUGGGUCUACACCAACAAGUGCGAGAAACCCAUAUUCGACUUGGUCUAGUCAUGGUCGGAAAAAAAAACUUUAGUCUGCAAAACCAAAUCGAGACCUCUGCUCCUGAAAACCCUAGAUCUAUAUCUCUGCUUGUCUUGUUUCUUAGUAAGUCUUCCUCUUAGAAAACCCUAUAUAAAUCUCUCUCUUUUCAUAUCUAUGGCGGAUUUGGAUAAAUGAGGAGGAGUAAUCGCCGACAUUAGACACGACGGCGGUGGCGGCGGAGGAGAGGUUGAAGAGAGGGAGAAGCUAACAGAACUUGAAGGAAUCUCUGUGUUGGAUUUUGAUCUGCUUUGCUCGACGGUUACCCUUCAGACUCAGGGGAAGUGGAGGAAACUCGAGAGGUCGGUGGGUGACCAUGUAAUGGAGGAUAAUUACGACGGCGGCGUUUUGUGGCUUUGCGAUGGAGGAAAAUCCCAAGAGAUUUGACUGAGGCAUCUCUCUCUGGAGCUGAGUAGUUAUUUAACAUCCAUUACAGUUCAUGAACAAGCUGUCCUUGUUAAACUUUGUGUGGCUUAUAUGACAUGACACUGCGUUUUUGUUGUGCAGCAGCGGUGAGGAUUAUCGGUUGAUCAAAACCCCUUGAAAUCUGUUUUAUUUUUCUAAGAACUCUCACAUGUGUCAUUUUGUUAGCAGUAUUAUCAUUUGAGUCUGAGCAAGAUACAAGUAUGCGGUGUGUUUGUACUCUCUGUUACUCACUUUACUUUAUAGUUUUCAAUAUAAUUAAUUAUGAUUUAUUUGUUUAUAUAAAUUACUUUGACUGCAAAUCUUGGUGUUGUCACAGUUUAACUCUAUAUUUGACCGCAAAUGUGUGAUGUCAAAGGUUCACACGUAUGAAUGUAUUUUGGGACCAACCAAAGAGAGUGAGGAACACAAGAAGACAAGUCUUGAGUAAGAAUGGUUGUACUAAAGCUGGAGACUUGACGAGGACUUCAAGAAGGCCAAGGAGAAGAGUUACUUUCAAGAAGAAAGUAGGAGUUCCAAGAUUCUACUUGACGCCAUUAAACAGUCAUAUGGCCAGCAAAUCCGGUAAAAGUAGGCUGAUGAAUUAGUCUGAUUCCUGAUCUUUGAUUGUUCGGUUCAUGAUGGACUAUAUAUUGAAGCUGUGUUGUAAUUAGCAAUUACCCUGUGUGUUACUUAUUAUCCCAUUGUUCUAUAGAUAUAUGAACUAAAACCAUAUCCCAUUGUUCCAAGUUUUUAUCUUUUCAAAGUUAUGGCUGAUUUACAUUUAAGU